Molecule: ribosomal RNA, 549 nt
Filed under: uncultured bacterium
Lineage: Bacteria
Description: partial 16S ribosomal RNA
Rfam family: Bacterial small subunit ribosomal RNA
Source: RNAcentral
UGGGGAAUAUUGCACAAUGGGCGAAAGCCUGAUGCAGCAACGCCGCGUGAGUGAUGAAGGCCUUCGGGUUGUAAAGCUCUGUCUUUUGGGACGAUAAUGACGGUACCAAAGGAGGAAGCCACGGCUAACUACGUGCCAGCAGCCGCGGUAAUACGUAGGUGGCAAGCGUUGUCCGGAUUUACUGGGCGUAAAGGAUGCGUAGGCGGAUUUUUAAGUGAGAUGUGAAAUACCCGGGCUUAACUUGGGUGCUGCAUUUCAAACUGGGAAUCUAGAGUGCGGGAGAGGAGAAUGGAAUUCCUAGUGUAGCGGUGAAAUGCAUAGAGAUUAGGAAGAACACCAGUGGCGAAGGCGAUUCUCUGGACCGUAACUGACGCUGAGGCAUGAAAGCGUGGGUAGCAAACAGGAUUAGAUACCCUGGUAGUCCACGCCGUAAACGAUGAGUACUAGGUGUAGGAGGUAUCGACCCCUUCUGUGCCGCAGUUAACACAAUAAGUACUCCGCCUGGGAAGUACGAUCGCAAGAUUAAAACUCAAAUGAAUUGACGGGGUC